This 515-nucleotide ribosomal RNA is filed under the name uncultured bacterium. Its description in RNAcentral is "bacterial SSU rRNA". It matches the Rfam family "Bacterial small subunit ribosomal RNA", at positions 1 to 524 of the family's 1533-position model. The record is from RNAcentral.
UAGAGUUUGAUCCUGGCUCAGAUUGAACGCUGGCGGCAUGCCUUACACAUGCAAGUCGAACGGUAACAGGUUAAGCUGACGAGUGGCGAACGGGUGAGUAAUAUAUCGGAACGUGCCCAGUCGUGGGGGAUAACUGCUCGAAAGAGCAGCUAAUACCGCAUACGACCUGAGGGUGAGAGCGGGGGAUCGCAAGACCUCGCGCGAUUGGAGCGGCCGAUAUCAGAUUAGGUAGUUGGUGGGGUAAAGGCCCACCAAGCCAACGAUCUGUAGCUGGUCUGAGAGGACGACCAGCCACACUGGGACUAAGACACGGCCCAGACUCCUACGGGAGGCAGCAGUGGGGAAUUUUGGACAAUGGGCGCAAGCCUGAUCCAGCCAUGCCGCGUGCGGGAAGAAGGCCUUCGGGUUGUAAACCGCUUUUGUCAGGGAAGAAAAGGUUCUGGUUAAUACCUGGGACUCAUGACGGUACCUGAAGAAUAAGCACCGGCUAACUACGUGCCAGCAGCCCCGGUCAA